AGAAGGGAAGUGGGAGAGACUUAGAAGCUGGCCAGCAGGGAAGCUGCUGAUGGGAAAAUGACUGUCAAGGGUUUUCUGUACAUACUAGCGGCAUCACACUGGGAUUCAAUUUUUUUUUUCUCUUUAUCACUCCUGUAGGUAAGGAGGAGAAAAGAAAGAAAGAAAAAUUGGAAAGAUAAAUGGGGUCUUCCAGUGAAGAAGAAAAAGCUCCACUUCUGGAUUUGUUUUGUUAUGCCCAGACCGUUUGUUCCCCAAAGAAGACCACCAGAGUCCAGAGUCAAAGCCAAGCGGCAAGGAUCUUUACUGCAAGUUCGAACUUGGUUCCUCCAUUCCACAGCGUACAAGAGGGCCCCGAACAAUGUGAGUGCUUGCUUUUUAUAGCCCGAUGUAAACAGGAUAUGUAAAGUUACAGGGGAACAAGGUAAUUCUCUCAGUUACAGCACAUUUAGCAUUUUUUAUUGGUUCCCGCUGUGUCCUUAUCGGGGAUUUCCUAGGUGGUGUUUUUCUGAAGUUUGAGAGAAAUAUGGAGGAAUGUGUUUGUGCUGGGCUCAGGAAGUUGGGAGAUAUAUGGGGGAUGUGCCUCAUUCCUUUCAGUUUCUGCUAAUAAUAGAUAAUAAAAUGUGUGUUGUCAACAGAUAACAAUAUUAGAACUUAAAUAUAUUAGGAUAGUUUUAAUGGAGUAUUAAAAUUAUUUGCAAUUUGAUAUGAAUAUAAGGCAUGUUAUAAAGUGUGGAGCAUUUUCUGGCAGACUCCUUUUAUUCCAAGCGUAUAUGGAAAAUUGCAUAAUGCUGAACUGCAAGAAGAUGAAGACAAACUGAUGUCUACUUUGAAAUAAGUAUAUUAAAUAGUUCACAUACUUUAUCUCUGCAAAUGUGGUUCUCUGCUCCUAAUAACACUAUAGCUGGCUAAAAUUUAUACAAUACUUUUUCCAUUGAGUUAGAAAUUGUUCCCUUUUCAGAGAGAG
This 964-nucleotide long non-coding RNA is filed under the name Cercocebus atys (sooty mangabey). RNAcentral's name for it is "lncRNA (ENSCATG00000045394.1)". The record is from RNAcentral. Lineage: Eukaryota; Metazoa; Chordata; Mammalia; Primates; Cercopithecidae.